UACGUAGGCAGCAAGCGUUGUUCGGAGUUACUGGGCGUAAAGGGUGUGUAGGCGGUUCCUUAAGUUUGCUGUGAAAUCUCCCGGCUUAACCGGGAGGGUGCGGUGAAUACUGAGGGACUAGAGUACGGGAGAGGAAAGUGGAAUUCCUGGUGUAGCGGUGAAAUGCGCAGAUAUCAGGAAGAACACCCGUGGCGAAAGCGGCUCUCUGGGACGGUACUGACGCUGAGACGCGAAAGCGUGGGGAGCGAACAGG
Molecule: ribosomal RNA, 253 nt
Filed under: uncultured bacterium
Lineage: Bacteria
Description: partial 16S ribosomal RNA
Rfam family: Bacterial small subunit ribosomal RNA
Source: RNAcentral